GAUGAACGCUGGCGGCGUGCCUAAUACAUGCAAGUCGAGCGAACAGACGAGGAGCUUGCUCCUCUGACGUUAGCGGCGGACGGGUGAGUAGCACGUGGAUAACCUACCUAUAAGACUGGGAUAACUUCGGGAAACCGGAGCUAAUACCGGAUAAUAUAUUGAACCGCAUGGUUCAAUAGUGAAAGACGGUUUUGCUGUCACUUAUAGUUGGAUCCGCGCCGCAUUAGCUAGUUGGUAAGGUAACGGCUUACCAAGGCAACGAUGCGUAGCCGACCUGAGAGGGUGAUCGGCCACACUGGAACUGAGACACGGUCCAGACUCCUACGGGAGGCAGCAGUAGGGAAUCUUCCGCAAUGGGCGAAAGCUUGACGGAGCAACGCCGCGUGAGUGAUGAAGGUCUUCGGAUCGUAAAACUCUGUUAUUAGGGAAGAACAAAUGUGUAAGUAACUAUGCACGUCUUGACGGUACCUAAUCAGAAAGCCACGGCUAACUACGUG
RNAcentral lists this ribosomal RNA (497 nucleotides) under uncultured bacterium. RNAcentral's name for it is "partial 16S ribosomal RNA". It matches the Rfam family "Bacterial small subunit ribosomal RNA", at positions 28 to 507 of the family's 1533-position model. The record is from RNAcentral.